Molecule: ribosomal RNA, 117 nt
Filed under: Sinocyclocheilus rhinocerous
Lineage: Eukaryota; Metazoa; Chordata; Actinopteri; Cypriniformes; Cyprinidae
Source: RNAcentral
GGCCACAGCCAUAUCACCCUGUAGCCCAAGACUGGUCGCCCACUUAAGCUAAGCAGGGUUGAGCCUGGUCAGUACCUGGAUGGGAGACCUCCUGGGAAAACUAAGUUGCUGUUGGAA